UACAGAGGUCUCAAGCGUUGUUCGGAUUCAUUGGGCGUAAAGGGUGCGUAGGCGGCGCGGUAAGUCGGGUGUGAAAUCUCGGAGCUCAACUCCGAAAUUGCACUGGAUACUGCUCUGCUAGAGGGCUGGAGAGGAGAUCGGAAUUCACGGUGUAGCAGUGAAAUGCGUAGAUAUCGUGAGGAAGACCAGUGGCGAAGGCGGAUCUCUGGACAGCUCCUGACGCUGAGGCGCGAAGGCUAGGGGAGCAAACGGG
This 253-nucleotide ribosomal RNA is filed under the name uncultured bacterium. Its description in RNAcentral is "partial 16S ribosomal RNA". It matches the Rfam family "Bacterial small subunit ribosomal RNA", at positions 524 to 776 of the family's 1533-position model. The record is from RNAcentral.